UCCCUGGCGGUUCAGUGGCUAAGACUCUGCACUUUCAAUGCAGGGGGCACAGGUUUGAUCCCUGCCCAGGGAA
This is a non-coding RNA of Bos taurus (domestic cattle), 73 nucleotides long. NCBI's taxonomy places the organism in Eukaryota, Metazoa, Chordata, Mammalia, Artiodactyla, Bovidae. The record is from Rfam.